RNAcentral lists this ribosomal RNA (1809 nucleotides) under Escherichia coli. RNAcentral describes it as "partial 23S ribosomal RNA". It matches the Rfam family "Bacterial large subunit ribosomal RNA", at positions 413 to 2207 of the family's 2925-position model. The record is from RNAcentral. Lineage: Bacteria; Pseudomonadati; Pseudomonadota; Gammaproteobacteria; Enterobacterales; Enterobacteriaceae.
UAGGGCGGGACACGUGGUAUCCUGUCUGAAUAUGGGGGGACCAUCCUCCAAGGCUAAAUACUCCUGACUGACCGAUAGUGAACCAGUACCGUGAGGGAAAGGCGAAAAGAACCCCGGCGAGGGGAGUGAAAAAGAACCUGAAACCGUGUACGUACAAGCAGUGGGAGCACGCUUCGGCGUGUGACUGCGUACCUUUUGUAUAAUGGGUCAGCGACUUAUAUUCUGUAGCAAGGUUAACCGAAUAGGGGAGCCGAAGGGAAACCGAGUCUUAACUGGGCGUUAAGUUGCAGGGUAUAGACCCGAAACCCGGUGAUCUAGCCAUGGGCAGGUUGAAGGUUGGGUAACACUAACUGGAGGACCGAACCGACUAAUGUUGAAAAAUUAGCGGAUGACUUGUGGCUGGGGGUGAAAGGCCAAUCAAACCGGGAGAUAGCUGGUUCUCCCCGAAAGCUAUUUAGGUAGCGCCUCGUGAAUUCAUCUCCGGGGGUAGAGCACUGUUUCGGCAAGGGGGUCAUCCCGACUUACCAACCCGAUGCAAACUGCGAAUACCGGAGAAUGUUAUCACGGGAGACACACGGCGGGUGCUAACGUCCGUCGUGAAGAGGGAAACAACCCAGACCGCCAGCUAAGGUCCCAAAGUCAUGGUUAAGUGGGAAACGAUGUGGGAAGGCCCAGACAGCCAGGAUGUUGGCUUAGAAGCAGCCAUCAUUUAAAGAAAGCGUAAUAGCUCACUGGUCGAGUCGGCCUGCGCGGAAGAUGUAACGGGGCUAAACCAUGCACCGAAGCUGCGGCAGCGACGCUUAUGCGUUGUUGGGUAGGGGAGCGUUCUGUAAGCCUGUGAAGGUGUGCUGUGAGGCAUGCUGGAGGUAUCAGAAGUGCGAAUGCUGACAUAAGUAACGAUAAAGCGGGUGAAAAGCCCGCUCGCCGGAAGACCAAGGGUUCCUGUCCAACGUUAAUCGGGGCAGGGUGAGUCGACCCCUAAGGCGAGGCCGAAAGGCGUAGUCGAUGGGAAACAGGUUAAUAUUCCUGUACUUGGUGUUACUGCGAAGGGGGGACGGAGAAGGCUAUGUUGGCCGGGCGACGGUUGUCCCGGUUUAAGCGUGUAGGCUGGUUUUCCAGGCAAAUCCGGAAAAUCAAGGCUGAGGCGUGAUGACGAGGCACUACGGUGCUGAAGCAACAAAUGCCCUGCUUCCAGGAAAAGCCUCUAAGCAUCAGGUAACAUCAAAUCGUACCCCAAACCGACACAGGUGGUCAGGUAGAGAAUACCAAGGCGCUUGAGAGAACUCGGGUGAAGGAACUAGGCAAAAUGGUGCCGUAACUUCGGGAGAAGGCACGCUGAUAUGUAGGUGAAGUCCCUCGCGGAUGGAGCUGAAAUCAGUCGAAGAUACCAGCUGGCUGCAACUGUUUAUUAAAAACACAGCACUGUGCAAACACGAAAGUGGACGUAUACGGUGUGACGCCUGCCCGGUGCCGGAAGGUUAAUUGAUGGGGUCAGCGCAAGCGAAGCUCUUGAUCGAAGCCCCGGUAAACGGCGGCCGUAACUAUAACGGUCCUAAGGUAGCGAAAUUCCUUGUCGGGUAAGUUCCGACCUGCACGAAUGGCGUAAUGAUGGCCAGGCUGUCUCCACCCGAGACUCAGUGAAAUUGAACUCGCUGUGAAGAUGCAGUGUACCCGCGGCAAGACGGAAAGACCCCGUGAACCUUUACUAUAGCUUGACACUGAACAUUGAGCCUUGAUGUGUAGGAUAGGUGGGAGGCUUUGAAGUGUGGACGCCAGUCUGCAUGGAGCCGACCUUGAAAUACCACCCUU